This 745-nucleotide ribosomal RNA is filed under the name uncultured bacterium. RNAcentral describes it as "bacterial SSU rRNA". It matches the Rfam family "Bacterial small subunit ribosomal RNA", at positions 33 to 773 of the family's 1533-position model. The record is from RNAcentral.
ACGCUGGCGGCAGGCCUAACACAUGCAAGUCGAGCGGUAGAGAGAAGCUUGCUUCUCUUGAGAGCGGCGGACGGGUGAGUAAUGCCUAGGAAUCUGCCUGGUAGUGGGGGAUAACGUUCGGAAACGGACGCUAAUACCGCAUACGUCCUACGGGAGAAAGCAGGGGACCUUCGGGCCUUGCGCUAUCAGAUGAGCCUAGGUCGGAUUAGCUAGUUGGUGGGGUAAUGGCUCACCAAGGCGACGAUCCGUAACUGGUCUGAGAGGAUGAUCAGUCACACUGGAACUGAGACACGGUCCAGACUCCUACGGGAGGCAGCAGUGGGGAAUAUUGGACAAUGGGCGAAAGCCUGGUCCAGCCAUGCCGCGUGUGUGAAGAAGGUCUUCGGAUUGUAAAGCACUUUAAGUUGGGAGGAAGGGCAGUUGCCUAAUACGUAACUGUUUUGACGUUACCGACAGAAUAGGCACCGGCUAACUCUGUGCCAGCAGCCGCGGUAAUACAGAGGGUGCAAGCGUUAAUCGGAAUUACUGGGCGUAAAGCGCGCGUAGGUGGUUUGUUAAGUUGGAUGUGAAAUCCCCGGGCUCAACCUGGGAACUGCAUUCAAAACUGACUGACUAGAGUAUGGUAGAGGGUGGUGGAAUUUCCUGUGUAGCGGUGAAAUGCGUAGAUAUAGGAAGGAACACCAGUGGCGAAGGCGACCACCUGGACUGAUACUGACACUGAGGUGCGAAAGCGUGGGGAGCAAAC